GUGCAGUAACAUGCACUGGAGGACCGAACCCACGUAUGUUGAAAAAUGCGGGGAUGACUUGUGUCUAGGGGUGAAAGGCCAAUCAAACCUGGAAAUAGCUGGUUCUCCGCGAAAUCUAUUUAGGUAGAGCGUCACGUGAAUACCCUCGGGGGUAGAGCACUGGAUGGGCUAGGGGGACUCACCGUCUUACCAAACCUAACCAAACUCCGAAUACCGAUGAGUAAUAUCUGGCAGACACACUACGGGUGCUAAGGUCCGUAGUGGAAAGGGAAACAGCCCUGACCGCCAGCUAAGGUCCCUAAGUUAUGGCUAAGUGGGAAAGGAUGUGAGAGUGCAUAGACAACCAGGAUGUUGGCUUAGAAGCAGCCAUCAUUUAAAGAAAGCGUAACAGCUCACUGGUCUAAAUAAGGGUUCUCGCGCCGAAAAUGUACCGGGGCUAAAGCCAUACACCGAAGAUGCGGACUCGACUUUGUCGAGUGGUAGCGGAGCGUUCCGUAAGCCUGCGAAGGGGUUCUCGUGAGAGGCCCUGGAGGUAUCGGAAGUGAGAAUGCUGACAUGAGUAGCGACAAAGA
Molecule: ribosomal RNA, 572 nt
Filed under: Isochrysis galbana
Lineage: Eukaryota; Haptophyta; Isochrysidales; Isochrysidaceae
Description: partial Bacterial large subunit ribosomal RNA
Rfam family: Bacterial large subunit ribosomal RNA
Source: RNAcentral